CCUACGGGAGGCUGCAGUCGAGAAUCAUUCACAAUGGGGGAAACCCUGAUGGUGCGACGCCGCGUGGGGGAAUGAAGGUCUUCGGAUUGUAAACCCCUGUCAUGUGGGAGCAAAUUAAAAAGAUAGUACCACAAGAGGAAGAGACGGCUAACUCUGUGCCAGCAGCCGCGGUAAUACAGAGGUCUCAAGCGUUGUUCGGAAUCACUGGGCGUAAAGCGUGCGUAGGCUGUUUCGUAAGUCGUGUGUGAAUGGCGCGGGCUCAACCCGCGAACGGCACAUGAUACUGCGAGACUAGAGUAAGGGAGAGGGAACCGGAAUUCUAGGUGUAGCAGUGAAAUGCGUAGAUAUCGAGAGGAACACUCGUGGCGAAGGCGGGUUCCUGGACAUUAACUGACGCUGAGGCACGAAGGCCAGGGGAGCGAAAGGGAUUAGAUACCCCUGUAGUC
This 446-nucleotide ribosomal RNA is filed under the name uncultured bacterium. RNAcentral's name for it is "partial 16S ribosomal RNA". It matches the Rfam family "Bacterial small subunit ribosomal RNA", at positions 338 to 795 of the family's 1533-position model. The record is from RNAcentral.